Ornithodoros turicata is the source of this 856-nucleotide long non-coding RNA. RefSeq lists it as uncharacterized. The record is from RefSeq and is a predicted model, not a curated record. Lineage: Eukaryota; Metazoa; Arthropoda; Arachnida; Ixodida; Argasidae. The transcript is spliced from 3 exons.
UUUGUGAUUUUCUAGCUGACUGCUGCCAUGACAUGUGCCUCUAAGUGGAACUUAGCCUGAGUGAGACAAAAAGCCCUCCAACCAUGAGAAUGAGCUGACCACUCCCAUGACGCAAGCUUUAGCAGUGAAAUGAAGCCUACUUGCAAAUACUUGAUUGCCCACAAUGACCUGCCUUCGUUUCAAAUAUAAGAGGGAAGUACCAAUAACUACACACACAGUGCAGUAGGCUCAUACUGUAUAUGGAUGUGUACAUUCUAACAUGCCUUGUUAAGUAAUUUGUUUGGCGGCAGAUGCAGUCACAUGUAGAUGCAGUUGUUUGUACCGAACAGGUACAACCUGUUAGUUUAGUUAGUACUUGUUAGUUUGAGUGACUGAGCCUGAUUUCUCCCUGAAUUUACCGUACUGGAAGUCCUUCCACUCAAAUUUGCAUAAAUUCAGAGCACAUGUUUGUUUAUUCUCUUUGUGCUCCACAAACCUAGAAAAAAAUUCCCGAAAGCUUUACGCUGUAUUCAUAGCCCCAAAAGCUCCAUAAAAUGUGAACCAGUAAUGAAGCCCUGUGUCAUUUCAGCCUGCAUGCAGACCUAGUCUCCAUCACGGAAGUUUUACAGGAUGGGAUAUGACACUGGCCAUCAGGGAGUGUUUGGCCAUCCUUGUAGGCUCUUCAUUUGAGGUUCCAGCAUGGUGUGCCAACAACCACGCCAUACACUGUAUGCAACGGGAUAGGAUGACAAAAGCGAAGGAUAAGUAGCCUAUAUGAAGUCCGUGGCCUAUGGCAUGGCCACACGGCUGCGAACAGGUGUGUCACAUGGCAAACGUGCAUUUCCUAACAUACUUCUCUUUCUUUUUGGCAGGGCAU